Molecule: ribosomal RNA, 483 nt
Filed under: uncultured bacterium
Lineage: Bacteria
Description: partial 16S ribosomal RNA
Rfam family: Bacterial small subunit ribosomal RNA
Source: RNAcentral
AUUGAACGCUGGCGGCAGGCCUAACACAUGCAAGUCGAGCGGAUGAAGGGAGCUUGCUCCUGGAUUCAGCGGCGGACGGGUGAGUAAUGCCUAGGAAUCUGCCUGGUAGUGGGGGAUAACGUCCGGAAACGGGCGCUAAUACCGCAUACGUCCUGAGGGAGAAAGUGGGGGAUCUUCGGACCUCACGCUAUCAGAUGAGCCUAGGUCGGAUUAGCUAGUUGGUGGGGUAAGGCCUACCAAGGCGACGAUCCGUAACUGGUCUGAGAGGAUGAUCAGUCACACUGGGACUGAGACACGGUCCAGACUCCUACGGGAGGCAGCAGUGGGGAAUAUUGGACAAUGGGCGAAAGCCUGAUCCAGCCAUGCCGCGUGUGUGAAGAAGGUCUUCGGAUUGUAAAGCACUUUAAGUUGGGAGGAAGGGCAGUAAGUUAAUACCUUGCUGUUUUGACGUUACCAACAGAAUAAGCACCGGCUAACUUCGUG